CCUACGGGUGGCAGCAGUGAGGAAUAUUGGUCAAUGGACGAGAGUCUGAACCAGCCAAGUAGCGUGAAGGAUGACUGCCCUAUGGGUUGUAAACUUCUUUUAUAUGGGAAUAAAAUGUUCCACGUGUGGGAUUUUGUAUGUACCAUAUGAAUAAGGAUCGGCUAACUCCGUGCCAGCAGCCGCGGUAAUACGGAGGAUCCGAGCGUUAUCCGGAUUUAUUGGGUUUAAAGGGAGCGUAGGUGGAUUGUUAAGUCAGUUGUGAAAGUUUGCGGCUCAACCGUAAAAUUGCAGUUGAAACUGGCAGUCUUGAGUACAGUAGAGGUGGGCGGAAGUCGUGGUGUAGCGGUGAAAUGCUUAGAUAUCACGAAGAACUCCGAUUGCGAAGGCAGUUCACUGGACUGCAACUGACACUGAGGCUCGAAAGUGUGGGUAUCAAACAGGAUGAGAUACCCUGGUAGUC
This 460-nucleotide ribosomal RNA is filed under the name uncultured bacterium. Its description in RNAcentral is "partial 16S ribosomal RNA". It matches the Rfam family "Bacterial small subunit ribosomal RNA", at positions 338 to 795 of the family's 1533-position model. The record is from RNAcentral.